This is a non-coding RNA of Acinonyx jubatus (cheetah), 902 nucleotides long. The record is from the annotation of a RefSeq genome assembly. Lineage: Eukaryota; Metazoa; Chordata; Mammalia; Carnivora; Felidae.
GUGAAGUGUCUAUGAGCUGGGGAUCUCAUUUGCAUAGAUGGGCCCUCCCUCUGUCAGAGGAUGAAAAGGGGAAGGAGCAGAUUAGGGGAGGCUCUGUUCAGCUGUGGGGCCACAGAAGGCUGGAUCGGUGAUGAUCUCCACCAUGGCCUGGUCCCCUCUCCUCCUCACCCUCCUUGCUCACUGCACAGGGUCCUGGGCCCAGUCUAUGCUGACUCAGCCGCCAUCCGUGUCUGGGGCCCUGGGCCAGACGGUCACCAUCUCUUGCAGUGGAAGCACCAACAGCAUCGGUAUUUAUGGUGUGAACUGGUACCAACAGCUCCCAGGAGAGGCCCCUAAACUCCUCAUCUAUGGCAAUAGCAAUCGACCCUCGGGGAUCCCAGAUCGAUUUUCUGGCUCCAAGUCUGGCAGCACAGGCUCCUUGACCAUCACUGGGCUCCAGGCUGAGGACGAGGCAGAUUAUUACUGCCAGACCAUUCACUUAACUGUCAGUGAUUACACAAUGUUCCAGGCUCAUGGGGAAGUGAGACAAAAACCUGCUGUCCCCACAGAAAUGGGACUUCCUGUGUAGCCCUGACAUUUUGGCCCCAUCAGCUGUUUGUUUGAUAUCAACUGAGGUUUGUCACCUGCCUCAAAGAAUUUGUCUACAAAUCUUUCCACAUUCUCUUAAAUUUCUCCUUGAAGCCUGUCCUGGAGAGCAAGAUAUUUUCUAAUUUUCUCAAACUGAGCACAAAUUCCUGGGUGCCAGAAACAGGCCACCCUGAGGACAGUGACCAUGUCACGUUAGGGCAGAAACAGGGUCACAAAAUCCAGAGUAUCUAUGGCUGAUUCGUACAUGUGGGUCUUUUGAAAUGAAUCCCUGUCCAUUCCCAUCAGUGCUGAGAUCCAACCAGUGAUUUUUGUUA